UGUCCACUUAAGCCUCAUGGUUUUAUAGAUGAUCUUUGUCUACAGAUAUGUUGGUUUUUGAUGUUCACAAAAAAUGAUGUGUUAUGAUUGCACAGGCACUUUGUUUCAGUAGAGGAGCUGCAGAGGAGAUGCUCUGCACCAGAGAAAUUCUCUGGUCACCUCAUGGUGACUUAUUUGAGGAAGGCAAAGGGGGAAAAAAGGAGCUUGUGAGGGAAUUGAAAGAGGCAGAGGUGCAUCUGAGUCCGUAUGGCUCAAACACUAAAAUGUGCACCAAACUAGUUGAAGAGGAGUGCCAAGGUCUUGCUAAAGACCUAGGAUAUUUGACCAAGGAAAUACCCUUCAAAAUCAUAGGCAAGCAGCUGGCCGAGUGAGGCUUCAGAAGAGAGGAUCAUGACUUGUGUGCUGAACUCGAUAUAAUCGAACAAGUGUUGGGUGAAAACAUGGACAUGUAUUCAAAGGUCACACACACACUUGGACCCCAAGUAUGCCAGGUUGUGUUUCAGAUCAUCAGAGAGUGCCUUGUUGCAAAAGCAAGGGCUCUAGAAAAUUGAAUUUUGACACUAUUACACUGCAGUUGACUGUUCACUGUACUGUACUAUUCAUUG
Long non-coding RNA from Carassius carassius (crucian carp), 605 nucleotides. RefSeq lists it as uncharacterized. NCBI's taxonomy places the organism in Eukaryota, Metazoa, Chordata, Actinopteri, Cypriniformes, Cyprinidae. The record is from RefSeq and is a predicted model, not a curated record. The transcript is spliced from 3 exons.